GUAGCCCAAAAUGCUUGUGUUAUUGUGCAUGAAUGACAAUAAUCCGUAUACUGUCUGAUACAUUUGUGGGCUCCUGCAUCCACAUUAUCAUGCUUCUUAUGGAUUUAUGUGAAUCCUGCUGCUCACAUAUGUGAUGGCUCGUGUCCUCUCAGGGUAUUACUAUUACAAGUACUGUCAGGACCAAUGGAAUAAGCAACAAUCUAAUGUACUGUAAAGAUAUUUUCUUGUGCUCGACCCUUCAUGAUUUGCAGAUACCCUUUUCAGGGGAACAUGAUCUAUCGGGUGCGUGUCAGGCGUCAUGGACCAAAGAGGCCAAGGGCAUUGUGUGUAUGUCACAGAAAAGCACGGACUGGUAGAAGAUUAAUGGGUAGUCUCAAGGUUCUCAACUCCUUCUGGAUCAAUGAGGACUAAACAUAUAAUUAAGUGCUAUAUAUUAGAUAGUUUUGGUCGAUGAUCCUGCCCAUAAUGCCAUUCGCAAUGACAAGAGGAUCAACUGGAUCAUCUGCAACCCUGUCCACAAACACGGGGAACUUCGUGGAUCACUUCUGCUGGGAAGAUAUACAAAGGCUUGCACGGAAAGGGGCAGCACUUGCACUGCAAAGCAAGGCCUUUCAGAAGGGCAACUUAGAAGAGGAACCAGACGCCCUCUCUCCGUCGAUACCAUUGAUCGUGGUCAAGGGAGGGUGCAGAGCCUACGGUGGAACCUUUUUGCAAAUUUCUCUCGUCUCGGUUAGAAAAAAACAAACUCGACCAGGAAAAUAUUCUUGUUGGCUUCUUGGACGGGCUCGUGCAUUAUAUCUUCUUCUGAUAACGCGCGGGCCACAGACGGUGACAAUCUCAAGUCACGGAGGAAAGUUCUCCAGUGGUGGGUGAGUUGGGCUCGAGUGAACGAGCCUAACCAACAUGUGAUGAUGGGCUAUGUUAUGAGUGGUGAUCCAAAGAGCCCAGUGUCCUCUUUCUUCAUGCCUUUUUUUUUUUGGUGAUUUUCUUCAUGUUUUUUCUUCAUAUAUGCGUAUACAUAAGUGUGAAUAAUAGGAUCCUACGGUUGGAUCGUUGAGAUUUUAUAUGUAACUCAUACACUAUAUUCCCGAUCUGCAAU
This is a non-coding RNA of Punica granatum (pomegranate), 1099 nucleotides long. Lineage: Eukaryota; Viridiplantae; Streptophyta; Magnoliopsida; Myrtales; Lythraceae. The record is from RefSeq and is a predicted model, not a curated record.